UUCUUUUACACCACAGCAAUAAGACGUUGAGAAUGACUCAACAUAACGUGUCAGAUAAAAGUUGGUGUAGCCUAUGCUUACUUCAAACAUGAAAUACUGGUCCUGGAUGGGCGCAUUUUCCGUAUCGCUGCUCUUCUGGGCUGAACUGAUCUGGAUCGUUGCCCGUUAACGAUAACGCCAGAGACGCUAAACGCUAUCUGGCAUCCCUGUUCGAUCAUGGCCAUAAACCUCGCUGCGGCGAGGUUUUUG
This 249-nucleotide small RNA is filed under the name Citrobacter sedlakii. RNAcentral describes it as "Enterobacterial sRNA STnc180". The stretch from base 1 to 212 matches the Rfam family "Enterobacterial sRNA STnc180". The record is from RNAcentral. Lineage: Bacteria; Pseudomonadati; Pseudomonadota; Gammaproteobacteria; Enterobacterales; Enterobacteriaceae.